RNAcentral lists this ribosomal RNA (231 nucleotides) under Triticum aestivum (bread wheat). RNAcentral describes it as "partial small subunit ribosomal RNA". The record is from RNAcentral. Lineage: Eukaryota; Viridiplantae; Streptophyta; Magnoliopsida; Poales; Poaceae.
AUGUUCUGUAUUCUUGUGAUGUUGCAGAUGGCCGACUACCAGUUGAUGCUGCUCGUCUAUGCCGGUGGGGUUGUCCUCAUGGCCCUCGUCACUGUCCCCAACUGGCCCUUCUUCAACCGGCACCCACUCAAGUGGCUGGACGCCGCCGAGGCUGAUUGCCACCCCCACCCGCAAAUCAGCACCACACCAACGACUACCGGGGGUAAGAAAAAUACCAAGAAGAACAAGUAG